GACGAACGCUGGCGGCGUGCUUAACACAUGCAAGUCGAACGAAGAGCGAUGGAAGCUUGCUUCUAUCAAUCUUAGUGGCGAACGGGUGAGUAACGCGUAAUCAACCUGCCCUUCAGAGGGGGACAACAGUUGGAAACGACUGCUAAUACCGCAUACGAUCUAAUCUCGGCAUCGAGGAUAGAUGAAAGGUGGCCCCUACAUGUAAGCUAUCACUGAAGGAGGGGAUUGCGUCUGAUUAGCUAGUUGGGGGGGUAACGGCCCACCAAGGCGAUGAUCAGUAGCCGGUCUGAGAGGAUGAACGGCCACAUUGGGACUGAGACACGGCCCAGACUCCUACGGGAGGCAGCAGUGGGGAAUCUUCCGCAAUAGACGAAAGUCUGACGGAGCAACGCCGCGUGAGUGAUGACGGCCUUCGGGUUGUAAAGCUCUGUUAAUCGGGACGAAAGGCCUUCUUGCGAAUAGUGAGAAGGAUUGACGGUACCGGAAUAGAAAGCCACGGCUAACUACGUG
Molecule: ribosomal RNA, 510 nt
Filed under: uncultured bacterium
Lineage: Bacteria
Description: partial 16S ribosomal RNA
Rfam family: Bacterial small subunit ribosomal RNA
Source: RNAcentral